UACGUAGGGUGCAAGCGUUGUCCGGAAUUAUUGGGCGUAAAGAGCUCGUAGGCGGUCUGUCGCGUCUGCUGUGAAAACUCAGGGCUUAACCCUGAGCUUGCAGUGGGUACGGGCAGACUAGAGUGCGGUAGGGGAGACUGGAAUUCCUGGUGUAGCGGUGAAAUGCGCAGAUAUCAGGAGGAAGACCAGUGGCGAAGGCGGGUCUCUGGACAGUUC
RNAcentral lists this ribosomal RNA (216 nucleotides) under uncultured bacterium. RNAcentral's name for it is "partial 16S ribosomal RNA". It matches the Rfam family "Bacterial small subunit ribosomal RNA", at positions 524 to 739 of the family's 1533-position model. The record is from RNAcentral.